Molecule: ribosomal RNA, 252 nt
Filed under: uncultured bacterium
Lineage: Bacteria
Description: partial 16S ribosomal RNA
Rfam family: Bacterial small subunit ribosomal RNA
Source: RNAcentral
UACGGAGGAUCCAAGCGUUAUCCGGAUUUAUUGGGUUUAAAGGGUGCGUAGGCGGCUUAUUAAGUCAGGGGUGAAAGACGGUGGCUCAACCAUCGCAGUGCCUUUGAUACUGAUGAGCUUGAAUACACUAGAGGUAGGCGGAAUGUGACAAGUAGCGGUGAAAUGCAUAGAUAUGUCACAGAACACCGAUUGCGAAGGCAGCUUACUAUGGUGUCAUUGACGCUGAGGCACGAAAGCGUGGGGAUCAAACAG